Molecule: long non-coding RNA, 1816 nt
Filed under: Mytilus galloprovincialis (Mediterranean mussel)
Lineage: Eukaryota; Metazoa; Mollusca; Bivalvia; Mytilida; Mytilidae
Source: RNAcentral
CGAAAAAAGGUCAUUUAUUCAAAAUCAUAAAAUGCAAAAAAUACAUUUUGCAAAUAAAACAUUUGACAUAAUAGUUCAUAUUUAAUAUGAAAUAAUAAUACAUAAUUAAUACGAAAUUACAUCAACUAAUAUCAUGUCAAUUGAAUAAAUGACAAAGAAUAGCAAAGGUGGGGAGAAAAAUCUGCCCCAUAAAUAAACAUAUAUACAUAUCUACUUCAAAAGAUAACAUUAAGGGUGGUAUGUGGGUGGGAAUUUUGAACAAAUUGUUUGAUAAGAAUCACAAGUUAACACAUCAAAUGCUGAUGAGAAAAGGAAGUGACCACAAUACACUUACACGUGAACUCGUACUGACCCGCAAGAUCAUUGACCAAUAAGAAAGAUGAUAUCCAAUCAUGCAUUGAUCAUAAGUGAAAUUUCUCUGCACGUGAAAACAUGUUAUCUAAUUUCAACAAUUUAUCGUUUAAUUAAGACACUCUGACCCUUUGACCAGACUAGAGACAUCGUACAUUUACAGUAUUAAUAGCUGACUCAUGUAUUUAAGUCGGUUAGUAAUAACCAAUUAAAACAGAAUUAUCUUCUCUGCUGUCUUAAAUUAUUUUAUUCCGCUUAAUUUUCAAUUAGCAAAUAAAAUUGGUUUUAAGACAGACAGCUAGAUACCAUAAACAUACUAUGUAUACACAAGCCAGAGUCUGAGCUUGAUUUGCUAUAUGAUAUAAAAACUAAACUGACGAAAAAAGGUCAUUUAUUUCAAAAUCAUAAAAUGCAAAAAAUACAUAAAACAUUUGACAUAAAAGUUCAUAUUUAAUAUGAAAUAAUAAUACAUAAUUAAUACGAAAUUACAUCAACUAAUAUCAUGUCAAUUGAAUAAAUGACAAAGAAUAGCAAAGGUGGGGAGAAAAAUCUGCCACAAAUCCACUCUUAGGCUGAAAGAGUGGAUCUGAAAUCCACUCUAAGGCUGAAAGAGCGGAUCCCCCACCCGAGGACUCUGGCGACGUGAAUACAAUUAUAUAUGACUUGAAAAAAAAAUACAUUCACAUACAUGUACACCAAACACAUAUCACUUUAUUAUGUAAAACGUUUCCACAUUUAGCAGAAAUAUUAAAAGUUCAUAUUAUCAUAUACCAAGAUAUUACUUUAAAAUUAUCUCUUACUGGUAAAAAUGAUUAAAGGUGUAAAUCCUAUUUCGGCCAGUGAAAAUUCAAACAAAACUAAAGUACAUUUUUACGAAGCCCUGGAUCCUUCCUAAAUACGAAGUUUUAUAUCUGACUAUUUCUGUAAGGGAUCAUAAGCAAAGGAUUCUCAUACUACACUUGACAUUUUUCAAUCGAAAAUGUAUAAAUAUAAAAAAGAAGAUGGUAUGAUUGCCAAUGAGACAGUUCACCACAAGAGACCAAAAUAACACGGAAAUUAACGACUAUAGGUCAUCGCACGGCCUUGAAAAAUGAGCAAAGCCCAUAUUGCAUAGUCAGGCCCCAAAAUGACCAUGUAAAACAAUUCAAACGAGAAAACUAACGGCCUUAUUUAUAUAAAAAAAAAAAUUAACGAAAAACUUAUAUGUAACACAUAAACAAACGACAACCACUGAACUACAGGCUCCUAACUUGGAACAGGCACAUACAUACAUAAUGUGGCGGGGGCGAAUUCCAUAGGGUAAAAGUUUUUAAAUUGAAAUUAGUAAAUAAGUAUUAAGUGUAAACCUUUUUUUAACUCUCAGUUAUUUUUGUUGUGAUCCGAAUUGAUAUGAGACUAUAGAAAUAAUUUUCGUAACUCAUGAUACGGUAAAAAGAAAAGCUUUAAUCACAAUUUUUAAUAUACA